GCCGGCAGCUAGCUCUCUGCAACUCUCACAUGGUCGCCCACUGAAGCUAAGCAGGGCUGCGCCUGGUCAGUACCUGGAUGGGAGACCACAUGGGAAAGCUAGGUUGCUGCCGGAA
Molecule: non-coding RNA, 115 nt
Organism: Danio rerio (zebrafish)
Lineage: Eukaryota; Metazoa; Chordata; Actinopteri; Cypriniformes; Danionidae
Source: Rfam